GAUGAACGCUGGCGGCGUGCCUAAUACAUGCAAGUCGAGCGAACGGACGAGAAGCUUGCUUCUCUGAUGUUAGCGGCGGACGGGUGAGUAACACGUGGAUAACCUACCUAUAAGACUGGGAUAACUUCGGGAAACCGUAGCUAAUACCGGAUAAUAUUUUGAACCGCAUGGUUCAAAAGUGAAAGACGGUCUUGCUGUCACUUAUAGAUGGAUCCGCGCUGCAUUAGCUAGUUGGUAAGGUAACGGCUUACCAAGGCAACGAUGCAUAGCCGACCUGAGAGGGUGAUCGGCCACACUGGAACUGAGACACGGUCCAGACUCCUACGGGAGGCAGCAGCAGGGAAUCUUCCGCAAUGGGCGAAAGCCUGACGGAGCAACGCCGCGUGAGUGAUGAAGGUCUUCGGAUCGUAAAACUCUGUUAUUAGGGAAGAACAGAUGUGUAAGUAACUGUGCACAUCUUGACGGUACCUAAUCAGAAAGCCACGGCUAACUACGUG
RNAcentral lists this ribosomal RNA (497 nucleotides) under uncultured bacterium. RNAcentral's name for it is "partial 16S ribosomal RNA". It matches the Rfam family "Bacterial small subunit ribosomal RNA", at positions 28 to 507 of the family's 1533-position model. The record is from RNAcentral.